This 221-nucleotide long non-coding RNA is filed under the name Elaeis guineensis (African oil palm). RNAcentral describes it as "long non-coding RNA (EGUI_LNC047556)". The record is from RNAcentral. Lineage: Eukaryota; Viridiplantae; Streptophyta; Magnoliopsida; Arecales; Arecaceae.
ACUCUUGACCCCGGUACCCAUAAUGUGUGGAACUCGUGAUCAGAGAAUCCUGAUUCUCGAUCACUGAGUCUCAAACAUGUAGGAUUCUACAUCAGCCAUCUGAUCAGAUAGGAACCUCUAAUGUGUGUGACCCCGUAGGUUCGAACUUAAGCCGAUAGCACAGGAAUCAAUUCCUGUACUAAUCGAAGUGACCAUCUAGCAAUGGUACCCGACGUCCAGAU